UUGUACAGACAAAAUAUAGCACAUAUAAAGGCAAGAAUAUGGCUUGCAAGUUUCUACCAUCAGACCGUAAAUUUGAUGACUAUGGGCAUUCUUAUUAUAAUA
Non-coding RNA from Gemella haemolysans ATCC 10379, 102 nucleotides. Lineage: Bacteria; Bacillati; Bacillota; Bacilli; Caryophanales; Gemellaceae. The record is from Rfam.